UAGCUGUAUCGAUAACGUCGUAUAUGGCGCAACUUUGUCAUGUAUUGUUCAGAACGUUACCGUUGGGUCAAUAUUUUAAGCGUGAACCCAAAAGUGUUCAUUUAUGAGUUCUUAACUGGAAGAAUUGAUAUGUCUAGAUUUGUUUAUUUAUAAGGUUGUAUUAUUAUAAACAUUUUGAGUCGAGGACUCCUAUAUUUUAUGUAAGCG
RNAcentral lists this long non-coding RNA (207 nucleotides) under Mytilus galloprovincialis (Mediterranean mussel). Lineage: Eukaryota; Metazoa; Mollusca; Bivalvia; Mytilida; Mytilidae. The record is from RNAcentral.